This 78-nucleotide non-coding RNA is filed under the name Octadecabacter antarcticus. The record is from RNAcentral. Lineage: Bacteria; Pseudomonadati; Pseudomonadota; Alphaproteobacteria; Rhodobacterales; Roseobacteraceae.
CCCGAAGUCAGUGGCGAUUUGUUACCGGAUUGCGGGCCACUUAAAAAACUCCGCUAAAAAGGGAACGGGUCAGCCCCG